AUACGGAGGAUCCGAGCGUUAUCCGGAUUUAUUGGGUUUAAAGGGUGCGCAGGCGGCCAUUUAAGUCAGCGGUUAAAUCGUGGGGCUCAACCCCAUUCUGCCGUUGAUACUGGGUGGCUUGAUUGCGGUCGAGGUUGGCGGAAUUCGUUGUGUAGCGGUGAAAUGCAUAGAUAUGACGAAGAACACCGAUUGCGUAGGCAGCUGACCAGACCGCAAAUGACGCUCAUGCUCGAAAGUGCGGGGAUCGAACAGGAUUAGAUACCCUGGUAGUCCGCACAGUAAACGAUGAAUACUUGUUUUCGGCGAUAUAAUGUCGGAGGCAAAGCGAAAGCGAUAAGUAGUCCCCCUGGGGAGUACGCCGGCAACGGUGAAACUCAAAGGAAUUGACGGGG
This 392-nucleotide ribosomal RNA is filed under the name uncultured bacterium. RNAcentral's name for it is "partial 16S ribosomal RNA". It matches the Rfam family "Bacterial small subunit ribosomal RNA", at positions 523 to 918 of the family's 1533-position model. The record is from RNAcentral.